CGUAGGGUGCGAGCGUUAAUCGGAAUUACUGGGCGUAAAGCGUGCGCAGGCGGUUUUGUAAGACAGGCGUGAAAUCCCCGGGCUCAACCUGGGAACUGCGCUUGUAACUGCAAGGCUAGAGUACGGCAGAGGGGGGUGGAAUUCCACGUGUAGCAGUGAAAUGCGUAGAGAUGUGGAGGAACACCAAUGGCGAAGGCAGCCCCCUGGGUCGAUACUGACGCUCAUGCACGAAAGCGUGGGUAGCAAACAGGAUUAGAUACCCUGGUAGUCCACGCCCUAAACGAUGUCAACUAGGUGUUGGGUGGGUAAAACCAUUUAGUACCGGAGCUAACGCGUGAAGUUGACCGCCUGGGGAGUACGGCCGCAAGGUUA
RNAcentral lists this ribosomal RNA (372 nucleotides) under uncultured organism. Its description in RNAcentral is "bacterial SSU rRNA". It matches the Rfam family "Bacterial small subunit ribosomal RNA", at positions 526 to 896 of the family's 1533-position model. The record is from RNAcentral.